AGCUGGACGUGACAACAUUACCAUGAAUUUCCACGGCUAUUUAUUUAUAGGGCCCCCCUUUCCAUCGCUUAUACCGAUUUCAUUCCAUAUUCUGAUCUCACAGAAGAAAACUAGACACUCUCGAUCGUAAUCAGGUAACGGAAGUGACAAUGGCGACCAUCAAAGUUCCGGAGCAUGUUCCUUCUCCUGCCGAAGACUGUGAGCAGCUUCGCAAAGCUUUCCAAGGAUGGGGAACGAACGAGGACUUGAUAAUAUCCAUUUUGGCUCACAGAAAUGCAGCUCAGAGAUGUUUAAUUCGGAAAACCUACGCUGAAAUAUAUGGUGAAGAUCUUCUUAAAGAACUAGACAAAGAACUUUCGAGUGAUUUUGAGCGGAUUGUACUUUUGUGGACAUUGCAACCUGCAGAACGUGAUGCAUUUAUGGCCAAUGAAGCAACAAAGAGGUCAACCUCAAACAAUUUGGUCAUUGUGGAAAUAGCUUGUACUCGACCAUUGCUCGAACUAUUCAAGGUGAGGCAGGCCUAUCAUGCCCGUUUCAAGAAAUCUCUUGAAGAAGAUGUUGCAUAUCAUACAUCUGGAGAUAUCCGCAAGCUUUUGGUCCCUCUCGUUAGCUCACUUCGGUACGAGGGAGAUGAGGUGAACAAAACCUUAGCGAAAUCAGAGGCUAAAGUACUCCAUGAGAAGAUAGCAGGGAAGGAAUACAACCAUGAGGAACUCAUUAGAAUUCUGACGACUAGGAGCAAAGCACAAUUACUUGCAACAGUUAACCUCUACAACAACGAGUACGGUAAUCCCAUCAAUAAGGAUUUGAAGGCCGACCCCAAUGACGAGUACCUGAAGUUACUGAGAACAACCAUCAAGUGUUUGACCUUUCCAGAAAGACAUUUCGCAAAAGUCCUUCGGUUGGCCAUUGACAAGAUGGGGACAGAUGAGUGGGCUCUUGCUAGAGUGAUUUCUUCUCGAGCUGAAACCGAUUUGGAGCGCAUCAAAGAAGAAUACUAUCGCAGGAACAGCAUUCCUCUGGAUCGUGCCAUUGCCAAAGACACUUCUGGGGACUUCGAGAAAAUGGCUCUGGAGUUGAUUGGACAUGGUGAUGCCUGAGUUCCUCUUGUUCAGGAAAGUUACUUUGCUUUGUUUAUCUGUUUGUUUGCUUGAACUUCGAACAUGGAGAACCAAAUGCUUUGCUUUUUACACAGUGGGAUCUGCCCGUGAGAAAGCUACAUAACUGAUUCUUUGUCGUUUCUGGAGAAGACAAAAUGAUCAAAGGUGAGGUGAAAUUCCAUUUUCACCUUCACUAAUGAUAACAUUAACUUGAAAAUUGGUAUGAAGAUACAUAACUGACCGAUAAACGCACUCAACUUGUCGGAGCCCCCUUUGAAACAGUAGACCCUGACUUUCACUUUUUCCUCAAAACGUUGUUUUUGUUUGAAUUCAUUUUUCCUUUUUCACUUUUGUCUUUAAAACUUUGUUUUUACAUUUAUCAUUAUUUUUCUAGUUCAACAAAUGUAAUAUGAAACUAGGAGAUCGUCUUUAACCUUGUAAAGUAAUAAAUUUCUCAAC
This is an RNA transcript of Momordica charantia (bitter melon), 1559 nucleotides long. It is a transcript of the gene named annexin D2, with no coding region annotated. The record is from RefSeq and is a predicted model, not a curated record. NCBI's taxonomy places the organism in Eukaryota, Viridiplantae, Streptophyta, Magnoliopsida, Cucurbitales, Cucurbitaceae.